GAAAGUCGAGCGAGCGGAACUAACAGAUUUACCUCGGUAAUGACGUUAGGAAAGCGAGCGGCGGAUGGGUGAGUAACACGUGGGGAACCUGCCCCAUAGUCUGGGAUACCACUUGGAAACAGGUGCUAAUACCGGAUAAGAAAGCAGAUCGCAUGAUCAGCUUUUAAAAGGCGGCGUAAGCUGUCGCUAUGGGAUGGCCCCGCGGUGCAUUAGCUAGUUGGUAAGGUAAAGGCUUACCAAGGCGAUGAUGCAUAGCCGAGUUGAGAGACUGAUCGGCCACAUUGGGACUGAGACACGGCCCAAACUCCUACGGGAGGCAGCAGUAGGGAAUCUUCCACAAUGGACGCAAGUCUGAUGGAGCAACGCCGCGUGAGUGAAGAAGGUUUUCGGAUCGUAAAGCUCUGUUGUUGGUGAAGAAGGAUAGAGGUAGUAACUGGCCUUUAUUUGACGGUAAUCAACCAGAAAGUCACGGCUAACUACGUGCCAGCAGCCGCGGUAAUACGUAGGUGGCAAGCGUUGUCCGGAUUUAUUGGGCGUAAAGCGAGCGCAGGCGGAAGAAUAAGUCUGAUGUGAAAGCCCUCGGCUUAACCGAGGAACUGCAUCGGAAACUGUUUUUCUUGAGUGCAGAAGAGGAGAGUGGAACUCCAUGUGUAGCGGUGGAAUGCGUAGAUAUAUGGAAGAACACCAGUGGCGAAAGCGGCUCUCUGGUCUGCAACUGACGCUGAGGCUCGAAAGCAUGGGUAGCGAACAGGAUUAGAUACCCUGGUAGUCCAUGCCGUAAACGAUGAGUGCUAAGUGUUGGGAGGUUUCCGCCUCUCAGUGCUGCAGCUAACGCAUUAA
RNAcentral lists this ribosomal RNA (840 nucleotides) under Lactobacillus crispatus. RNAcentral describes it as "bacterial SSU rRNA". It matches the Rfam family "Bacterial small subunit ribosomal RNA", at positions 57 to 863 of the family's 1533-position model. The record is from RNAcentral. Lineage: Bacteria; Bacillati; Bacillota; Bacilli; Lactobacillales; Lactobacillaceae.